Molecule: ribosomal RNA, 1447 nt
Filed under: uncultured organism
Description: 16S ribosomal RNA
Rfam family: Bacterial small subunit ribosomal RNA
Source: RNAcentral
GCGGCGUGCUUAACACAUGCAAGUCGAACGGAAAGGCCCUGCUUUUGUGGGGUGCUCGAGUGGCGAACGGGUGAGUAACACGUGAGUAACCUGCCCUUGACUUUGGGAUAACUUCAGGAAACUGGGGCUAAUACCGGAUAGGAGCUCCUGCUGCAUGGUGGGGGUUGGAAAGUUUCGGCGGUUGGGGAUGGACUCGCGGCUUAUCAGCUUGUUGGUGGGGUAGUGGCUUACCAAGGCUUUGACGGGUAGCCGGCCUGAGAGGGUGACCGGCCACAUUGGGACUGAGAUACGGCCCAGACUCCUACGGGAGGCAGCAGUGGGGAAUAUUGCACAAUGGGCGGAAGCCUGAUGCAGCAACGCCGCGUGCGGGAUGACGGCCUUCGGGUUGUAAACCGCUUUCGCCUGUGACGAAGCGCGAGUGACGGUAAUGGGUAAAGAAGCACCGGCUAACUACGUGCCAGCAGCCGCGGUGAUACGUAGGGUGCGAGCGUUGUCCGGAUUUAUUGGGCGUAAAGGGCUCGUAGGUGGUUGAUCGCGUCGGAAGUGUAAUCUUGGGGCUUAACCCUGAGCGUGCUUUCGAUACGGGUUGACUUGAGGAAGGUAGGGGAGAAUGGAAUUCCUGGUGGAGCGGUGGAAUGCGCAGAUAUCAGGAGGAACACCAGUGGCGAAGGCGGUUCUCUGGGCCUUUCCUGACGCUGAGGAGCGAAAGCGUGGGGAGCGAACAGGCUUAGAUACCCUGGUAGUCCACGCUGUAAACGGUGGGUACUAGGUGUGGGGUCCAUUCCACGGGUUCCGUGCCGUAGCUAACGCUUUAAGUACCCCGCCUGGGGAGUACGGCCGCAAGGCUAAAACUCAAAGGAAUUGACGGGGCCCCGCACAAGCGGCGGAGCAUGCGGAUUAAUUCGAUGCAACGCGUAGAACCUUACCUGGGUUUGACAUGGAUCGGGAGUGCUCAGAGAUGGGUGUGCCUCUUUUGGGGUCGGUUCACAGGUGGUGCAUGGCUGUCGUCAGCUCGUGUCGUGAGAUGUUGGGUUAAGUCCCGCAACGAGCGCAACCCUUGUUCACUGUUGCCAGCACGUUAUGGUGGGGACUCAGUGGAGACCGCCGGGGUCAACUCGGAGGAAGGUGGGGAUGACGUCAAGUCAUCAUGCCCCUUAUGUCCAGGGCUUCACGCAUGCUACAAUGGCUGGUACAGAGAGUGGCGAGCCUGUGAGGGUGAGCGAAUCUCGGAAAGCCGGUCUCAGUUCGGAUUGGGGUCUGCAACUCGACCUCAUGAAGUCGGAGUCGCUAGUAAUCGCAGAUCAGCAACGCUGCGGUGAAUACGUUCCCGGGGCUUGUACACACCGCCCGUCAAGUCAUGAAAGUUGGUAACACCCGAAGCCGGUGGCCUAACCGUUGUGGGGGAGCCGUCGAAGGUGGGACUGGUGAUUAGGACUAAGUCAUAACA